Molecule: ribosomal RNA, 796 nt
Filed under: uncultured archaeon
Lineage: Archaea
Description: bacterial SSU rRNA
Rfam family: Archaeal small subunit ribosomal RNA
Source: RNAcentral
ACUGCUCAGUAACACGUGGAUAACCUGCCCUUGGGUCCGGCAUAACCCCGGGAAACUGGGGAUAAUUCCGGAUAACGCAUAUAUGCUGGAAUGCUUUAUGCGUAAAAUGGAUUCGUCUGCCCAAGGAUGGGUCUGCGGCCUAUCAGGUAGUAGUGGGUGUAAUGUACCUACUAGCCGACAACGGGUACGGGUUGUGAGAGCAAGAGCCCGGAGAUGCAUUCUGAGACAUGAAUCCAGGCCCUACGGGGCGCAGCAGGCGCGAAAACUUUACAAUGCGGGAAACCGUGAUAAGGGGACACCGAGUGCCAGCAUCAUAUGCUGGCUGUCCAGGUGUGUAAACUACACCUGUUAGCAAGGGCCGGGCAAGACCGGUGCCAGCCGCCGCGGUAACACCGGCGGCCCGAGUGGUGAUCGUGAUUAUUGGGUCUAAAGGGUCCGUAGCCGGUUUGGUCAGUCCUCCGGGAAAUCUGACGGCUCAACCGUUAGGCUUUCGGGGGAUACUGCCAGGCUUGGAACCGGGAGAGGUAAGAGGUACUACAGGGGUAGGAGUGAAAUCUUGUAAUCCCUGUGGGACCACCUGUGGCGAAGGCGUCUUACCAGAACGGGUUCGACGGUGAGGGACGAAAGCUGGGGGCACGAACCGGAUUAGAUACCCGGGUAGUCCCAGCCGUAAACGAUGCUCGCUAGGUGUCAGGCAUGGCGCGACCGUGUCUGGUGCCGCAGGGAAGCCGUGAAGCGAGCCACCUGGGAAGUACGGCCGCAAGGCUGAAACUUUAAGGAAUUGGCGGGGGAGCAC